Long non-coding RNA from Sapajus apella (tufted capuchin), 725 nucleotides. RefSeq lists it as uncharacterized. NCBI's taxonomy places the organism in Eukaryota, Metazoa, Chordata, Mammalia, Primates, Cebidae. The transcript is spliced from 2 exons. The record is from RefSeq and is a predicted model, not a curated record.
CCUGCAGGGAGGGAAGAACCCUUUUCUAGGAGCUGGAAAGCCUCUUAGAGAUGGACCAUUCACCUCCUCAUCUUGUCACAAGUGAGGAAGUUGGCUUGGAGAGUGACUUGCUCAGGAGCACACAGGAUUAUAGCAGGGACCUGAACUAGACCCAGGCCCCCAACUCCCGCCGCAGUACUCCAGGGUCCAGAAAUCUAACUUCCAUCUAGGGUGGUCAGGCCUGGCCCUGCCUGGAGACGGGCUGUACCAGAGCCUGCUGGAUUUCCUGUCCCUAAAGGGGAAGAAGCUGUGUUUAAACAACCAGAAAAAUCCUACUUCAGAAGGAGAAUACAACCCCUGAGGUCUGUGUGCUUGCAUGCAUCUGUGCUUGCAUGAAGUCUGUGUGCUUGCAUGAGUCUGUGUGCUUGUAUGAGUCUGUGUGCUUGCAUGAAUCUGUGCUUGCAUGAGACUGUGUGCUUGCAUGUGACUGUGUGCUUGCAUGCAUAAUAUGCUCUGUGUGCCCCUGGAUUCUGAGCCAGGCAAGUCCUAUCCAUCUAGUGAGGACAACCUUACUGCUGGCUGCAGAUCUAAGCAUGGCUUCCUGCUCUAACAGUAGCUAAUUCAAUCCACUGUAAUUGGAAAGAUUGUGUCUAGAUUGACUUGUGUAGCCUUCAGUGGCAGCAGGAGAUUGAUUCAAAUGACCUUGGGUACUAAUCAGCUCUACAAAAGUGGCCUCUUGUAGCUGG